AGUGAACGCUGGCGGCGUGCCUAAUACAUGCAAGUCGAACGGAGUGGCGCACGGGUGCGUAAUGUAUAGCUAAUCUGCCCCACACUAGCGGACAACAGUUUGAAACGACUGCUAAUACUCCAUAGUGUAGGAUGAGGCUAUAUUGUAUCAGCUAGUUGGUGAGGUAAGGGCUCACCAAGGCUAUGCCGCAUAACUGGUCUGAGAGGGUGAUCAGUCACACUGGGACUGGGACACGGUCCGGACUCCUACGGGAGGCAGCAGUGAGGGAUAUUGCUCAAUGGGGGAAGCCCUGAAGCAGCAACGCCGCGUGGGGGAUGACACUUUUCGAAGCGUAAACUACUUUUGUUAGGGAAGCGGUACCUAACGAGUAAGCACCGGCUAACUCCGUGCCAGCCGCCGCGGUAAUAC
This 408-nucleotide ribosomal RNA is filed under the name uncultured bacterium. RNAcentral describes it as "partial 16S ribosomal RNA". It matches the Rfam family "Bacterial small subunit ribosomal RNA", at positions 29 to 526 of the family's 1533-position model. The record is from RNAcentral.